This is a non-coding RNA of Callithrix jacchus (white-tufted-ear marmoset), 841 nucleotides long. NCBI's taxonomy places the organism in Eukaryota, Metazoa, Chordata, Mammalia, Primates, Cebidae. The record is from RefSeq and is a predicted model, not a curated record.
CAGUUGCUGUGACAGGGAGCUUUGUUUAUUUGGUUUUCACUUUUCAGCAUGAAAUACAGUUCUGUCUUGAUUCUCCUGAGUCUGGCGCUCUCUGAAUGUUUCUAACUAGAAUGUUUCUGCUCAUUUGCAAAAAGUUUGCUCCCCUGAGACUGGUGGGCGCCUGGAAACACUGCUGGUGAGGCGCGGGUCUGCUUGGAUCACCGCUCUGCUUGGUCAGCUCACAAAUCAGGAGUGUUUCUAGAGUUAGAACUUUCCUGCGGUGGAUCCUGGAUGUCUCAGUUUCCCCAGAUGACCACAUGGCCUCAGAGUCCAGAGCUAGAUGUGCUGAUCUUGCAGCCCCCUCGUCCUAUGUCCUCAUCAAAACCAGGGGUCAUUGGAAUGGACUGAAGAAGGAGAAAGCUCAAAAGGAUCUGAGGAAGUGGUCUGGCUAAGAGCUUGAAAUGGACAGAGUCCUGGCUCUCAGGCAGACACUUAAAUUCUCCUGGUGCCACAGGCAUUACAGCUGAAUCCAUUUAAAAGAAGAUGGCAAAUAUAUAAAUCAUGACCUCAAAAUUCCUUCAAUCUCUCACAGGACACCAGGGAAACAUUUGUAUUAUGGCUCAAUAACAACCAGGGUCAGGAAUAAAUUUGAAAUUCUUUAAUUUAGGCUCCAAUUCAUUCAUAUGCCUGUUGCUAAAUUAAAUGCUUGAAAUAAUUUCCUGCUAUGAAAAUAUGAGACUCUUACUAUUCAGAUAAAUAGACUAUUCAAAUCAAAGGCCUGAAAUCUUAAGAAUUAUCUCAAAAUGACUUUUAAAAAAGCUUUUCUGUUUUUGAUCAUAAAAUGUCAAAGGCACACUAUAAU